RNAcentral lists this long non-coding RNA (258 nucleotides) under Brassica napus (rape). RNAcentral's name for it is "long non-coding RNA (BNAP_LNC022954)". Lineage: Eukaryota; Viridiplantae; Streptophyta; Magnoliopsida; Brassicales; Brassicaceae. The record is from RNAcentral.
UGGACCGGGCCGUAAGAUUGUGAUCGAUCGAUGAGAGAAUCCCAUCGAUCGAUCGAGAAUCUCAAUUGUUCCUCGGAAUGUCCUCGGAAAAUCUUGUAUGUUUUUUUAAAAACGCAUCGAUCGAUGCGUUAUAGAACAAAAACGCAUCGAUCGAUUACAAAGAUGGACCGGGCCGUAAGAUUGUGAUCGAUCGAUGAGAGUAUCCCAUCGAUCGAUCGAGAAUCUCAAUUGUUCCUCGGAAUGUCCUCGGAAAAUCUU